Molecule: ribosomal RNA, 756 nt
Filed under: Streptomyces sp. 9-18-2
Lineage: Bacteria; Bacillati; Actinomycetota; Actinomycetes; Kitasatosporales; Streptomycetaceae
Also listed under: 1 other name
Description: bacterial SSU rRNA
Rfam family: Bacterial small subunit ribosomal RNA
Source: RNAcentral
UUAGUGGCGAACGGGUGAGUAACACGUGGGCAAUCUGCCCUUCACUCUGGGACAAGCCCUGGAAACGGGGUCUAAUACCGGAUACGACCACUGAGGGCAUCUUCAGUGGUGGAAAGCUCCGGCGGUGAAGGAUGAGCCCGCGGCCUAUCAGCUUGUUGGUGGGGUAAUGGCCUACCAAGGCGACGACGGGUAGCCGGCCUGAGAGGGCGACCGGCCACACUGGGACUGAGACACGGCCCAGACUCCUACGGGAGGCAGCAGUGGGGAAUAUUGCACAAUGGGCGAAAGCCUGAUGCAGCGACGCCGCGUGAGGGAUGACGGCCUUCGGGUUGUAAACCUCUUUCAGCAGGGAAGAAGCGAAAGUGACGGUACCUGCAGAAGAAGCGCCGGCUAACUACGUGCCAGCAGCCGCGGUAAUACGUAGGGCGCAAGCGUUGUCCGGAAUUAUUGGGCGUAAAGAGCUCGUAGGCGGCUUGUCACGUCGGAUGUGAAAGCCCGGGGCUUAACCCCGGGUCUGCAUUCGAUACGGGCAGGCUAGAGUGUGGUAGGGGAGAUCGGAAUUCCUGGUGUAGCGGUGAAAUGCGCAGAUAUCAGGAGGAACACCGGUGGCGAAGGCGGAUCUCUGGGCCAUUACUGACGCUGAGGAGCGAAAGCGUGGGGAGCGAACAGGAUUAGAUACCCUGGUAGUCCACGCCGUAAACGUUGGGAACUAGGUGUUGGCGACAUUCCACGUCGUCGGUGCCGCAGCUAACGCAU